CUUAGUCAGAAUCCGUGCUAGAAACGAUGAUGUUGGUGUCGCACAUUAGACUUGUGUUUAAAUAGAGCUUUGCUCGUGAACCAAAUAUGGUGGGCUGGGUUGUCUUUGCGGAAACGCUUGGGCGACUUGUCUACGAAUUGUAAUCAUAAUAUGGGCGGCGGUGAAUCCUUUGCAGACGACUUGAAUGGGAACGGGGUACUGUAAGUGGUAGAGUAGCCUUGUUGCUACGAUCCACUGAGGUUAAGCCCUUGUUCUAAAGAUUUGUUCA
Molecule: ribosomal RNA, 268 nt
Filed under: Armillaria cepistipes
Lineage: Eukaryota; Fungi; Basidiomycota; Agaricomycetes; Agaricales; Physalacriaceae
Description: partial 26S ribosomal RNA
Rfam family: Eukaryotic large subunit ribosomal RNA
Source: RNAcentral